AGUGAACGCUGGCGGUAGGCCUAACACAUGCAAGUCGAACGGCAGCACAGUAAUAGCUUGCUCUUACGGGUGGCGAGUGGCGGACGGGUGAGGAAUACAUCGGAAUCUACUUUUUCGUGGGGGAUAACGUAGGGAAACUUACGCUAAUACCGCAUACGACCUACGGGUGAAAGCAUGGGAUCUUCGGACCUUGCGCGAUUGAAUGAGCCGAUGUCGGAUUAGCUAGUUGGCGGGGUAAAGGCCCACCAAGGCGACGAUCCGUAGCUGGUCUGAGAGGAUGAUCAGCCAAACUGGAACUGAGACACGGUCCAGACUCCUACGGGAGGAAGCAGUGGGGAAUAUUGGACAAUGGGCGCAAGCCUGAUCCAGCCAUACCGCGUGGGUGAAGAAGGACUUCGGGUUGUAAAGCCCUUUUGUUGGGAAAGAAAAGCAGCAGGUUAAUACCACGCUGUUCUGACGGUACCCAAAGAAUAAGCACCGGCUAACUUCGUG
Molecule: ribosomal RNA, 492 nt
Filed under: uncultured bacterium
Lineage: Bacteria
Description: partial 16S ribosomal RNA
Rfam family: Bacterial small subunit ribosomal RNA
Source: RNAcentral